AGGGUUCGAUUCUGGCUCAGGAUGAACGCUGGCGGCGUGCCUAACACAUGCAAGUCGAGCGAUUCUCUUCGGAGAGGAGCGGCGGACGGGUGAGUAACGCGUGGGUAACCUGCCCUGUACACACGGAUAACAUACCGAAAGGUAUGCUAAUACGGGAUAAUAUGUUUUUGAUCGCAUGGUCGAAAUAUCAAAGCUCCGGCGGUACAGGAUGGACCCGCGUCUGAUUAGCUAGUUGGUGAGGUAAUGGCUCACCAAGGCGACGAUCAGUAGCCGACCUGAGAGGGUGAUCGGCCACAUUGGAACUGAGACACGGUCCAAACUCCUACGGGAGGCAGCAAUGGGGAAUAUUGCACAAUGGGCGAAAGCCUGAUGCAAGCAACGCCGCGUGAGCGAUGAAGGCCUUCGGGUCGUAAAGCUCUGUCCUCAAGGAAGAUAAUGACGGUACUUGAGGAGGAAGCCCCGGCUAACUACGUGCCAGCCGCAGC
RNAcentral lists this ribosomal RNA (485 nucleotides) under uncultured bacterium. RNAcentral's name for it is "bacterial SSU rRNA". It matches the Rfam family "Bacterial small subunit ribosomal RNA", at positions 8 to 518 of the family's 1533-position model. The record is from RNAcentral.